AGGCUAUGAAGCAAUUGGCUGUGUCGGCAUGCAGUCGAUUGUGAAGCCAGACCUUGGGUUAUGCGACAACCUCAAACCGAAUAGUUUCUUCGGAACUGAAAGAAAACGCUUUUA
RNAcentral lists this non-coding RNA (114 nucleotides) under unclassified sequences. Its description in RNAcentral is "drum RNA". It matches the Rfam family "drum RNA". From Rfam's summary of the family: Firmicutes, Bacteroidetes (1 example), Proteobacteria (2 examples), Spirochaetes (2 examples). Terminator (Clostridia) The record is from Rfam by way of RNAcentral.